This 243-nucleotide ribosomal RNA is filed under the name uncultured Actinomycetales bacterium. RNAcentral's name for it is "partial 16S ribosomal RNA". It matches the Rfam family "Bacterial small subunit ribosomal RNA", at positions 89 to 334 of the family's 1533-position model. The record is from RNAcentral. Lineage: Bacteria; Bacillati; Actinomycetota; Actinomycetes; Actinomycetales.
GCUCGAGUGGCGAACGGGUGAGUAACGCGUGAGUAACCUGCCCUUGACUUUGGGAUAACUUCAGGAAACUGGGCUAAUACCGGAUAGGAGCUCCUGCUGCAUGGUGGGGGUUGGAAAGUUUCGGCGGUUGGGGAUGGACUCGCGGCUUAUCAGCUUGUUGGUGGGGUAGUGGCUUACCAAGGCUUUGACGGGUAGCCGGCCUGAGAGGGUGACCGGCCACAUUGGGACUGAGAUACGGCCCAG